GUGCCAGCAGCCGCGGUAAUACGGAGGGUGCAAGCGUUAUCCGGAUUUAUUGGGUUUAAAGGGUCCGUAGGCGGAUCGGUAAGUCAGUGGUGAAAUCUCAUAGCUUAACUAUGAAACUGCCAUUGAUACUGUCGGUCUUGAGUGUAUUUGAAGUAGCUGGAAUGAGUAGUGUAGCGGUGAAAUGCAUAGAUAUUACUCAGAACACCAAUUGCGAAGGCAGGUUACUAAGAUACAACUGACGCUGAUGGACGAAAGCGUGGGGAGCGAACAGGAUUAGGAUAACCCUGGUAGUCCACGCCGUAAACGAUGCUAACUCGUUUUGGUUUCGGACUCAGAGACCAAGCGAAAGUGAUAAGUUAGCCACCUGGGAGUACGUUCGCAAGAAUGAAACUCAAGAA
RNAcentral lists this ribosomal RNA (398 nucleotides) under uncultured Chryseobacterium sp. Its description in RNAcentral is "bacterial SSU rRNA". It matches the Rfam family "Bacterial small subunit ribosomal RNA", at positions 505 to 907 of the family's 1533-position model. The record is from RNAcentral. Lineage: Bacteria; Pseudomonadati; Bacteroidota; Flavobacteriia; Flavobacteriales; Weeksellaceae.